AUCCAGCUGACCACGAGUCCCAAAUAGGACGAAAUGUUAGUUGUCCUGGAU
Molecule: non-coding RNA, 51 nt
Organism: Trichobilharzia regenti
Lineage: Eukaryota; Metazoa; Platyhelminthes; Trematoda; Strigeidida; Schistosomatidae
Source: Rfam